CAGCCGCCGCGGUAAUACGAAGGGUGCAAGCGUUACUCGGAAUUACUGGGCGUAAAGCGUGCGUAGGUGGUGGUUUAAGUCCGUUGUGAAAGCCCCGGGCUCAACCUGGGAAUUGCAGUGGAUACUGGGUCACUAGAGUGUGGUAGAGGAUAGUGGAAUUUCCGGUGUAGCAGUGAAAUGCGUAGAGAUCGGAAGGAACAUCCGUGGCGAAGGCGACUAUCUGGGCCAACACUGACACUGAGGCACGAAAGCGUGGGGAGCAAACAGGAUUAGAUACCCGCGUAGUCCCUGUCUCUUAUAC
RNAcentral lists this ribosomal RNA (301 nucleotides) under uncultured bacterium. Its description in RNAcentral is "partial 16S ribosomal RNA". It matches the Rfam family "Bacterial small subunit ribosomal RNA", at positions 509 to 807 of the family's 1533-position model. The record is from RNAcentral.